Molecule: ribosomal RNA, 468 nt
Filed under: uncultured bacterium
Lineage: Bacteria
Description: partial 16S ribosomal RNA
Rfam family: Bacterial small subunit ribosomal RNA
Source: RNAcentral
GACGAACGCUGGCGGCGUGCUUAACACAUGCAAGUCGAACGGAAAGGCCCUGCUUUUGUGGGGUGCUCGAGUGGCGAACGGGUGAGUAACACGUGAGUAACCUGCCCUUGACUUUGGGAUAACUUCAGGAAACUGGGGCUAAUACCGGAUAGGAGCUCCUGCUGCAUGGUGGGGGUUGGAAAGUUUCGGCGGUUGGAGAUGGACUCGCGGCUUAUCAGCUUGUUGGUGGGGUAGUGGCUUACCAAGGCUUUGACGGGUGGCCGGCCUGAGAGGGUGACCGGCCACAUUGGGACUGAGAUACGGAGCAGACUCCUACGGGAGGCAGCAGUGGGGAAUAUUGCACAAUGGGCGGAAGCCUGAGGCAGCAACGCCGCGUGCGGGAUGACGGCCUUCGGGUUGUAAACCGCUUUCGCCUGUGACGAAGCGUGAGUGACGGUAAUGGGUAAAGAAGCACCGGCUAACUACGUG